GUCCUUUUGUAUUUAAUUGAAGGUCUGACCUGCCCAGUGAUUAAUUUAACGGCCGCGGUAUACUGACCGUGCAAAGGUAGCAUAAUCAUUAGUCUUUUAAUAGAGGGCUGGAAUGAAAGGUUUAACGAGGAACUGACUGUCUCAUUUUAUUUGUUUUAAAAUUUAAUUUUUUAGUUAAAAAGCUAAAAUUUCAUUGGAAGACGAGAAGACCCUAUAGAUCUUUAUAGAAAAAUAAAUAAUUAUUAAUAUAUAAAUAUAAUUAUUUAUUUUUCUAUUUUGUUGGGGUGACAAAAAUAUAAAUCUAACUUUUUUAUUUAUAUAACAUUGAUUUAUGAAUAUAGGAUCCAUUACUAGUGAUUAUUAGAUUAAGUUACCUUAGGGAUAACAGCGUAAUCCUCCUCCAGAGUUCAUAUUUACAGGAUGGGCUUGCGACCUCGAUGUUGGAUUAAGAUAAUAAUCAGGUGUAGCCGCUUGAUUUAUAGGUCUGUUCGACCUUUAAAUUCUU
This 505-nucleotide ribosomal RNA is filed under the name Trithemis aurora (dawn dropwing). Its description in RNAcentral is "partial 16S rRNA". It matches the Rfam family "Bacterial large subunit ribosomal RNA", at positions 1819 to 2597 of the family's 2925-position model. Lineage: Eukaryota; Metazoa; Arthropoda; Insecta; Odonata; Libellulidae. The record is from RNAcentral.